This 860-nucleotide long non-coding RNA is filed under the name Phascolarctos cinereus (koala). Its description in RNAcentral is "lncRNA (ENSPCIG00000035258.1)". The record is from RNAcentral. Lineage: Eukaryota; Metazoa; Chordata; Mammalia; Diprotodontia; Phascolarctidae.
AACCAGUAUCAGCACCUAUUCCCAAAUAAGGGCAACCUCAUCUCUCUUUCCCACCUAGGUAGCCUAGGAAAACAUCACAUCUAAAGCAAGCACCUUUGAAAUGGAAAAAGUACGGUGAAGUGAAGGUUGGGCUUUUCAUCCAUGCAGGGUCUUGACCUCCUGUUGGAAUGACUUUGGUCUCCACACAGUUUCAGGCUUCCCAGACUGCACCUCGCCAGACAGCCCAGCAGAGCAAGUGCGCUGGGGUACUCUUUCCCUCCAGUCUUCCCAUCAACGUUUCCUUCUUUCUUCUCCCCUCCCAGAUGAACACUGAGCUUCUCCCCUGCUCCCAGUGCCAGAAGCCCAGAAUCCUCAUUGUCCUUGGACCCUCAGACCUUCUCCCCUUUUCCCAAUGGUGGUGGGCUAAAAGAAUAUGUUUCUGCUAUAACCGAGGUGCCUCCAGUCUUGACCCAAUGGAUUCUGCUUCUUCUUGGGCAUCUCUCUUGCCUCAGACAAGCCAUGAUCUUGUGCCUGCCCUAGGGUCUCUACCUUAGAGUCUUUACCUCUACCAUGGAACCUCUUCAGGCUUUGCCAUUCCCCUCUCAGAUGUAGCAGCAGCCUGGGAGUAGUAGUAGCAAGUAGUUAUUAGAAGGCAGGCUGAAUGCCAAGCACCCUAUUAGUAAAGGUUUGAUGUUGGGACAGAAUGAGGCACUUGCAAAUCAUUGAAUAGUUAACAAAAGGAGGAUUACUUUGCCCCAGUGAAGCAAGGAUGUACAACAAGGAAAGGGUGACAUUUUAGCCUCCUUGUCUCUAUAUGGAAAUACAUAUGGUCCCUAGUGCAGUGAUUCAAGGUGGUCUUUGGAUAACUACCAAGAUGGAGG